CCUACGGGAGGCAGCAGUGAGGAAUAUUGGUCAAUGGACGAGAGUCUGAACCAGCCAAGUAGCGUGAAGGAUGACUGCCCUAUGGGUUGUAAACUUCUUUUAUAUGGGAAUAAAAUGUUCCACGUGUGGGAUUUUGUAUGUACCAUAUGAAUAAGGAUCGGCUAACUCCGUGCCCGCAGCCGCGGUAAUACGGAGGAUCCGAGCGUUAGCCGUAUUUAUUGGGUUUAAAGGGAGCGUAGGUGGAUUGUUAAGUCAGUUGUGAAAGUUUGCGGCUCAACCGGAAAAUUGCAGUUGAAACUGGCAGUCUUGAGUACAGUAGAGGUGGGCGGAAUUCGUGGUGUAGCGGUGAAAGGCUUAGAUAUCACGAAGAACUCCGAUUGCGAAGGCAGCUCACUGGACUGCAACUGACACUGAGGCUCGAAAGUGUGGGUAUCAAACAGGAUUAGAUACCCCAGUAGUC
RNAcentral lists this ribosomal RNA (460 nucleotides) under uncultured bacterium. RNAcentral's name for it is "partial 16S ribosomal RNA". It matches the Rfam family "Bacterial small subunit ribosomal RNA", at positions 338 to 795 of the family's 1533-position model. The record is from RNAcentral.